This is a long non-coding RNA of Chenopodium quinoa (quinoa), 1393 nucleotides long. RefSeq lists it as uncharacterized. The record is from RefSeq and is a predicted model, not a curated record. Lineage: Eukaryota; Viridiplantae; Streptophyta; Magnoliopsida; Caryophyllales; Amaranthaceae. The transcript has 2 exons.
AGAAUUUACGUGGUUCACUAUCGAUGUGAUAGCUACGUCCACGGGCACCGAGAUCGAAUGAUUUCACUAUAAACUGGCAAAGAUUACAAAGAUUACAAUGAAGAACUUAAUCACUCAAAGUAUUCUCUCUCUUGUGUUUCUCUCUCCGUUACCCUAAUAAUGAUAAUAGGAAGUUUAUAUAGUAGUGAUUCCUAAUUAAGAUAUACUUAGGUUACAAUAUCACAAUAUGAUAAAUAUUAAAUUCGUAAUCGCUGAAAAAAACCCAGAUCGCCCGGUCGGGCGAAGGCCCGCCCGAUCGGGCGCGAGAACACGUCUUUUCCAACAACCGAAGUACUCCAAAAAACCCCUUCCGCCCGGCCCGAUCGGGCAAUGUCCGCCCGAUCGGGCGAAGGCUCGCCCGGUCGGGCGAAAGCUCGCCCGGUCGGGCGCGCGAGAGCAGCUUCUUCAACGAAUUUGCCAGGCACCUCUUCUUCUUCCGCCCGGUCAGACCGGGUAAUGUCCGCCCGAUCGGGCGGACAAAGCAACGAAGUACGAGUCACCUAAUACUUAUCAACAGGGAGCUACCAAAAGAGUUGGGAAAUCUGAAUGGUCUUGUAGUUCUCAACCUCUCUCACAAUUCCUUCUUGGGUCAUAUCCCAUCAUCAUUCGGGAAUUUAAGCCAGAUUGAAUCGUUGGAUCUCUCUUCAAAUGCCUUGACUGGGAGGAUACCUACAGAGUUUGCGAACUUGAAUUUCCUCAGCUACUUGAACCUUUCCUUCAACAAGUUGUCAGGAAAGAUCCCAACAAGCACUCAGCUACAAUCCUUCAAUGCAUCUUCGUACGAAGGCAACCAAGGACUGUUCGGUUCACCAUUGACAACACAUGAUCCAAUAACAGUGACUCCGCCUACUUCUUCAGAGGGAUCAAAUUGGAGUUCAAAGAGUGAACGAGAGUGGAUGUUAAGGGGUGCUGAAGUUGGGUUUCCAGUUGGGAUCACCAUCUUUAUUGGGCCUAUCCUUUACAUCAAAAGGUAUAGGGAAUGGUACUGCAAGCAUCUUCACAUACUGAUCAUGAAAAUCCUACGAAAGGAAGAUAAUAUUACAAGGGCAAGGAGGAGGACAAGGAGGAACCAACAAAGGCAGAGACGCUAGAUGCAUAGAAAGGGUGAAAAAGAAGAAAACAAUGAAGGGUGCUGCUGUGUGCUACUGUGGAUGACAAACAUGUAAUGUGCCGAACUAAAGAAUUUACGCAUGUAUGGUGAUUGGUGAAAUAAUGAAUUAUACGAAGUAGUAAUUAGUAUAGUUUGUAAGACUUUAAGAAUUGUAUAAGUAUCAAGGUAUGACACUUUUUAUUAUCAGUUGUUGCGGCUUUUAAAUUGUGUUCCUACUGCUAUAUAUUCACCUUUAUAACUAAA